Molecule: long non-coding RNA, 5054 nt
Organism: Macaca mulatta (Rhesus monkey)
Lineage: Eukaryota; Metazoa; Chordata; Mammalia; Primates; Cercopithecidae
Source: Ensembl
UUUUCUUAAGCUAGGUAAAUUAUGCUAUGCCACUGAUCAAUAGCGUCUGCAUUUCUUCCUCUUUUUCAUCGUGUUAAUGUAAUCAUAACAUACCAUUUUGUGACUACGUUUCUAAGCCCACAUAUACUGUUUUAAAAGCUCAAGAUCUGUUGGGACAAUCUGGACUUGGUCAUGAUCUGGCUUCUUUGGGUCAUUGUCAGACAGCUGGUCAAGGUGAGCCUGAACAGAAGAAAAUCUGUGGAGGGACACACAAAAUGACCAUUUAACUGCCCACAUAUGCCAGCAAAGAUGCGGAUUUGAAUGACCUGCCCAGUUCCUUAAUGUGCCUUUCCCCACUGGCCACAUCUGAAAGCCCUUGAUGUAUCCACUUACAGGCUUGUGGGACAAGACACUAUUCAAAGGAAUGGGAGACACACUGAUCCAGAAGUUCCAACACUGUGAUCUGCAACGAACUGGGCUUCAGUGAUCAACAGUCUCCUCAAGACUUAAUCUGUUGGGAAUUUUAUGUGCCCAUGGUCGGCUUCAUCUGUCUUCCAGACAGAGUGAUAAAAAGUGGAAUCACAGCUAAUGGAGUCCCAUGCAGGUUGCUCUGCUCACAGGAGGACAUUAGGAGGAGAGUGGAUCACUUAAUCUUUCAUCAAGGUAAGAUCUCUUCUAUUUGUGCUAUGAAAAUGGGUCCACAUCAGACUGUUCACUGUAGGCAGUGCCUACUGCGUAGAAAGAGCUCAAUAAAUAUUGUAAACUGAAUGAGGAAAUGGAUGAAUGGAAAACAAUUCAAUCCCAAGAAGGUUACCCCAGAGAGCCUAUACAAAUCAAAUUGUAAAAAUUUUCACCUUGCCUGAUUCUGUGUGGACACAGCCUCAAUUUCCCCAGGGCCUGAAGAAUAAUUACAAUGAUCAUUCAUGUCUCCAUGUCGAAAUAAGGCAUAACAUUCAAACUUUCCCAAGGUAUAUUAUUGCACACACUUCAUUUUGGAAAGGUUGAUAUAGUAAAUUAGCAGCUCCACCACAAGGCUAAUGAGGCUAAUGAGAGGUAUCGGUAAAAUUGCAGCCAUAGAAAAUAAGAUGGCCUUUCCCAUCAUGAGAAUCAAAAAUGUAUAGCAGAAAGCCAUGUAUGGAAACACAUUCCACAACAAGCAGACUCUAUCAUAAUACUUUUUUCAAAAGUGUUUUCUCUCUCUCUUCUUGUAUUAAUUAUUCAGUAUUUUGUCUUUAAAAAUAGCACUAAGUGCAAAUUAUGUGCAUGAUAUUAUGAUAAAUAGUGUGGGUGACAGAUAACACAUAAGUCAGUUUCUACCUACAAGAACUGCACAGCAAGUUGAGGACAUAAACAUAUGCACACAAAUCUACAUGUGAAAUGUCUGAUGGUUCCUAUACUAAGUAGGGAGACACCUAAUUACUAAGAUUUCUGAUACCUGCAAGUAAAGAGUCAAGGGCCACCAUGUUGAGUAGGGGGAGGUUGGAAAGGUUGAAAGUAUGUUAUAAUAAAAAUAAACAAAGUUGAGAUGGAACAUCUCUGGAUAUCUGUGGGUUCAAGUCAGUCCAAUAAUAAUGAGGUGGAGAAAGUCAUGGGUCAUCCACAGAGAUGUGGCACUUGUAGUGACUAACAGUAAUAAUAAUAACUGCUAAGUAGAGUAAGAGGAGCACUGGUUUUGGAAUCUAACGAUAUACAUUGGAACUCCAGCUCUGUCAAUUACCAUGCAACUAAACUUGAGCCAAAGUUAUGAGCAUCAGUUUACCAAUCUGUCAAUAGUUGAUAGGUAUCUAUCUCAGAGGGAUCUUCAAAGGAACCAUUGUGGAAAUAUAUAAAAUAAGAAACACUUUGCCAAUACACAGGGAAAAGAUAAAAAAAUUACAUUUCUAUUAUAUGAAUGAAGUUUAGAAGUGGGUACUAAAAGGAAAGCACAGAGACACUGUCUGAAUGGUGAGAGGCUCAGAUUUGUCUCAAGUGUUUUACUGAACCAGUUCAGACGAGGUUGAGUCAAUAGGGUUACCCAUCUCCAAGACUGAUGUUUGAAAGAUAAUCAAAAAGUCAAAUAAUCCUAACACGUAUCACUGCCUUGUUUCAGCCUGUAUGUCCCACUCAAUGUGUUUAGCUUCCAUUUGAAUAGUUAACCUGCUCAGAGUGGAAAACUUAAUUGGAUCAUUCAGCCCUUGCUAUUUUUAUUUUUGGAUCAAUUCAGUUUGGCAGGAGACACCGAGGAAAGUAAGCAAAUGACUGCCAAAUUUCCACUUAUCUUGGUGGAAAUAUAUAUACAAAUCUUAGCUCUCAAUAAAGGUAUAUCGGCGGGAGGGGGGGGGUCUUGCUAAAGGUGAAGAAGUUUCUAGAAAAAGAGGCAGGCGGUCUCUCAGGUUAUCUUAUUCUUGGAGAAUUUUCAUCAUGCACAAUGCAUCUGUAUAUUUAAGUUACUUCUGCUAUAACCAGCAGGCUCUCUGGAUUUCAUUCCACUUCUGCUUCCUAAAUGACUUCUGAACUUGGCUCACACUUUUCUUUACCAUCUAAUCACAAUGACAAUAACAUCUACCAAACAAGGCAUUUUGUUUUACAUUUUACAAGGCAUUUUCGCGUAUUCAUUUAAGUCCCCUAAAAACCAUGAAAGGUUGACGUUGUUAUUUUUACUUUACAAAUGAGAGAAUAAAUUUAGAAAAUAGGAAAAGGUAAAAAUAUAAAGUCAAGAGUGGAAAGAGGAGGGCAGCCUCUUAGAAUUAAAAACACCAUGGGAAGUAAUACUGUCAGAUGGAGGUUAUAUCUCAGUGGCCACCAAUUUUUGAUAGGCUAUGAGGUUGAAGUUUGCACCUUCUUUUGAGAGCCUACAACCAAAUGUUCCAAAUGUUCAUCCUAGCUCAGAUUGGCUAAUAAGUGCCCAAGUCUCAAAUCCUACAUCAUACUAUCUCCUUGUGCCCCCAUGCUUGAGAUCUCAAUCCUCUUAUCUAAUAACAAGACCCAUCUUUGCCAAAACAUGCCAUUGAGUGCAGGAGGGGCAAUGGUAUAUGGUGGUGCAUGACAGAAAAUCCUGAUUGUAUAGCAAAUCUAUACAAAGAAGAAAAACAAGGGCAUGAAGUUGUGUCGGGGAAAAAAAAAUGUCAGGAUGCCAGGCACUGAUUAGAUCACAAUCUACUUCUGCCUAAAUGCAUAUCCCAUGACCAAAUAUUUUGUGAUGCAUUCAAGGUUCUUAAUAACACUACGUCCAUCCACAUGGACUUGUUUCUUGAGUUCUUUUCUUCUGAUAUCUGUCUAAGAAACUAAUUAUCCUUUGAUACACACUAAGGACAGAUGAGUUCAGGAAAAUGCUGAACAAGUAAGAGAGAAAGCCUGUAAACAAUAAUUUGAUGCUGCCUCUAUUUCAUUUGCUUUGUAUUAGCAUCCAUGGCGUAUAUUUAUCUUUAAACCAAUAUUUCUUACCCAGGAUAUUUAAUCCCGAUGAGUUUCUUGUCCCUCUGAAUUCUUACUUCAUUUUUGCCCUUUUUUGUCCUUUAGUUACAGAAUAAAACUUCCCACAGAUAGGGGAAUCUAUCCUGUAGAUCUUUAGAGCAGAGUUGGUUUGUGCCUUCACAUGCAGAAACAAAAACAUAACCCACAGAAACUUUUCUAAAUAUUCUAUCUCAAAGUACUCUAACACAAGUAGCUGAUUGCCUUCCCCACUUCUCAUCAUCCUUCCCUUUCCACCCACAGCUUCUCACUGAACUUUAUUUCCUCUUCUGAGGUUUCUGCCCACCUUUUUAAUGGCAAUGGUCUAGAGGUGAUUGUUAACUUGAACAACCUAAGGAACCAUCCGAGAGUGAUGGUAGGAAGGCUUGGCCAACAAAGGAGAAAACCCAAGAGCCCGGAAGCUGUCCGGGUUUAGGGGAUUGGAGAUUCAUCUUCCUCUUUAUGUAAUGGGGAAAAAAAAGAGAGAGUUGAAAGCUAGAUGGGAUUAUUGGGUAUCGUGAUGGUUAACAUUGAGUGUCAACUUGAUUGGAUUGAGGGACGCAAAGUAUUGUUCCUGGGAAUGACUGUGUGGGUGUUGCCAAAGAAAAUUAACAUUUGACUCAGUGGGCUGGGAAAGGCAGAUCCACCCUCAAUCUGGGUGGCUAGAAUAAAAGCAGACAAAAGAACGUGAAAAGAUUAGACUGGUUGAGUUUUUUGGCCUACAUCUUUCUCCCAUGCUGGAUGCUUCCUGCCCUCGAAGAUCAGACUCCAAGUUCUGCAGCUUUGGGGCUCGGACUGGCUUCCUUGCUCCUCAGCUUGCAGACAGCCUAUUGUAGGACCUCACUCUGUGAUCGUGUGAGUCAAUACUCCUUAAUAAACUCACAUUUAUAUAUACAGCUAUCCUAUUAGUUGUGUUCCUCUAGAGAACUCUAAUAUAGGUAUACAGUGGGACUUGGUGGAAAAUGGAUCCAGACACUAUGGGAGGAAGUGGGUGCAAGGAGCUAGAUGAAAAUAAGGAUAUGUGAGGGUGUGAGGGGGCUUCUUCUUAGGCCCUAGUCUAGAAGCUAGAAUCUAGCUGGGCAUUGAAUUGGACAACACAACUCCCUCAAAUAAUAGGUAGGGAAGUCAGAUGAGUGAAAGCAUUUUCUCCAGGGGAGAAAAGAGGAAAUGCAGAGUAUAAGUGUAGGCAUGGGCUCAAUCAAGAGCAGCACUGCCCCAAUAAAUAGCCACAAAUAGUGGCUGCUGUGGUUUACUUUUAUUAACCCUUGUGUUGUUCCAAGUCCAGAAAAUAUCUUCACAGACACAGUUUCUGAUGUGUGGUUCUCUGGUUUCUAGUUCAUACUACAAUUACACAAAGACAGUAGAGAAAAUUACAUGAUAGGAUUUUUUUUUUGUCUCUCUGUGGCAAUAUGAAUUAUUCACCUUAAAAUUUUCCUUUCUCCACUUAACUUUGGAAUGAUAGAAAAAUGUUGACUUUAAAAAAUAAAUGGAGAGAAAUGAGAGACAAGAACUCCAGAAGCACCUAGUCUUUAUUCACUCAUGUGUUCUUGUCCCAAUUCUACCACAUUACAGUGAAUGGAUGCCUUGGAACUCUUCUUAAAAUAUCAACAUUUAUUAUUUAACAUAUUUUCUAAAAUGCAUGACUC